CAGCCGCCGCGGUAAUACGUAGGGGGCGAGCGUUGUCCGGAUUUACUGGGCGUAAAGCGCGUGUAGGUGGCGGCUUAAGUCGGGUGUGAAAGCCCGGGGCUCAACCCCGGGAUGCCGCUCGAGACUGGGUCGCUUGAGGACGGCAGAGGGGCGUGGAAUUCCUGGUGUAGCGGUGAAAUGCGUAGAGAUCAGGAGGAACACCCGUGGCGAAGGCGGCGCCCUGGGCCGACCCUGACACUGAGACGCGAAAGCGCGGGGAGCGAACGGGAUUAGAUACCCCGGUAGUCCGCGCCGUAAACGAUGGUCACUAGGUGUGCGUGGUAUCGACCCCACGCGUGCCGGCGCUAACGCAUUAAGUGACCCGCCUGGGGAGUACGGCCGCAAGGUUGAAACUCAAAUGAAUUGACGG
Molecule: ribosomal RNA, 409 nt
Filed under: uncultured soil bacterium
Lineage: Bacteria
Description: bacterial SSU rRNA
Rfam family: Bacterial small subunit ribosomal RNA
Source: RNAcentral